This 253-nucleotide ribosomal RNA is filed under the name uncultured bacterium. RNAcentral describes it as "partial 16S ribosomal RNA". It matches the Rfam family "Bacterial small subunit ribosomal RNA", at positions 524 to 776 of the family's 1533-position model. The record is from RNAcentral.
UACGAAGGACCCGAGCGUUAUCCGGAUUUAUUGGGUUUAAAGGGUGCGUAGGCGGAUUAGUAAGUCAGUGGUGAAAGCCCAUCGCUUAACGGUGGAAUUGCCAUUGAUACUGCUAGUCUUGAGUAUGGUUGAGGUGGGCGGAAUGUGUCAUGUAGCGGUGAAAUGCUUAGAUAUGACCCAGAACACCAAUAGCGAAGGCAGCUCGCUAAACCAUAACUGACGCUGAUGCACGAAAGCGUGGGGAGCAAACAGG